This 65-nucleotide transfer RNA is filed under the name Anindobothrium lisae. RNAcentral describes it as "tRNA-Asp". Lineage: Eukaryota; Metazoa; Platyhelminthes; Cestoda; Phyllobothriidea; Phyllobothriidae. The record is from RNAcentral.
ACGAUUUUAGUUUAAUUAAAAUGUCAGUUUGUCUCGCUGUUGUUGGCUUUAUGUGCUAAGUCGUU